GACGAACCGUCCUAACGUUAUUCGGAAUCACUGGGCUUAAAGGGCGCGUAGGCGGACGAGCAAGUCCGGAGUGAAAUCCUUCGGCUUAACCGGAGAAGUGCUUUGGAUACUGCUCGUCUUGAGGGAGGUAGGGGCAUGUGGAACUUCUGGUGGAGCGGUGAAAUGCGUUGAUAUCAGAAGGAACGCCGGUGGCGAAAGCGACGUGCUGGCCCUCUUCUGACGCUGAGGCGCGAAAGCUAGGGGAGCAAACGGG
Molecule: ribosomal RNA, 253 nt
Filed under: uncultured bacterium
Lineage: Bacteria
Description: partial 16S ribosomal RNA
Rfam family: Bacterial small subunit ribosomal RNA
Source: RNAcentral